Molecule: ribosomal RNA, 796 nt
Filed under: uncultured Actinomycetes bacterium
Lineage: Bacteria; Bacillati; Actinomycetota; Actinomycetes
Description: bacterial SSU rRNA
Rfam family: Bacterial small subunit ribosomal RNA
Source: RNAcentral
CGGGUACUCGAGAUGGCGAACGGGUGAGUAACACGUGGGUGAUCUGCCUUGCACUUCGGGAUAAGCUUGGGAAACUGGGUCUAAUACCGGAUAGGACAGCUGUUUAGUGUCAGUUGUGGAAAGUUUUUUCGGUGCAAGAUGAGCUCGCGGCCUAUCAGCUUGUUGGUGGGGUAAUGGCCUACCAAGGCGUCGACGGGUAGCCGGCCUGAGAGGGUGUACGGCCACAUUGGGACUGAGAUACGGCCCAGACUCCUACGGGAGGCAGCAGUGGGGAAUAUUGCACAAUGGGCGGAAGCCUGAUGCAGCGACGCCGCGUGGGGGAUGAAGGCCUUCGGGUUGUAAACUCCUUUCGACAGGGACGAAGCGUAAGUGACGGUACCUGUAUAAGAAGCACCGGCUAACUACGUGCCAGCAGCCGCGGUAAUACGUAGGGUGCGAGCGUUGUCCGGAAUUACUGGGCGUAAAGAGCUCGUAGGUGGUUUGUCGCGUCGUCUGUGAAAUUCCGGGGCUUAACUCCGGGCGUGCAGGCGAUACGGGCUGACUUGAGUGCUGUAGGGGAGACUGGAAUUCCUGGUGUACGGUGAAAUGCGCAGAUAUCAGGAGGAACACCGAUGGCGAAGGCAGGUCUCUGGGCAGUAACCGACGCUGAGGAGCGAAAGCAUGAGUAGCGAACAGGAUUAGAUACCCUGGUAGUCCAUGCCGUAAACGGUGGGCGCUAGGUGUAGGGGGCUUCCACGUCUUCUGUGCCGUAGCUAACGCAUUAAGCGCCCCGCCUGGGGAGUACGCCGCAAGGCUA